GAUGAAGAACGCAGUGAAAUGCGAUAAGUAAUGUGAAUUGCAGAAUUCCGUGAAUCAUCGAGUCUUUGAACGCACAUUGCGCCCCCUGGUAUUCCGGGGGGCAUGCCUGUCCGAGCGUCAUUGCUGCCCUCAAGCACGGCUUGUGUGUUGGGCCUCCGUCCUCCUCCCGGGGGACGGGCCCGAAAGGCAGCGGCGGCACCGCGUCCGGUCCUCGAGCGUAUGGGGCUUCGUCACCCGCUCUUGUAGGCCCGGCCGGCGCUUGCCGACACAUCAAUCUUUUUUCCAGGUUGACCUCGGAUCAGGUAGGGAUACCCGCUGAACUUAAGCAUAUCAAUAAGCGGAGGA
This 345-nucleotide unclassified non-coding RNA is filed under the name soil metagenome. RNAcentral's name for it is "partial contains 5.8S ribosomal RNA, internal transcribed spacer 2, and large subunit ribosomal RNA". The stretch from base 1 to 120 matches the Rfam family "5.8S ribosomal RNA", at positions 35 to 154 of the family's 154-position model. The record is from RNAcentral.